UGCGGCGUGGUAGCAGUGGUAGCUCGCUGCCCUCAUAAGGCAGAGGUCGUUGGUCCGAAUCCAACCGCCGUAACCA
This 76-nucleotide transfer RNA is filed under the name Clostridium sp. RNAcentral's name for it is "tRNA-Met". It matches the Rfam family "tRNA". Rfam says of the family: Transfer RNA (tRNA) molecules are approximately 80 nucleotides in length. Their secondary structure includes four short double-helical elements and three loops (D, anti-codon, and T loops). Lineage: Bacteria; Bacillati; Bacillota; Clostridia; Eubacteriales; Clostridiaceae. The record is from RNAcentral.